This 375-nucleotide ribosomal RNA is filed under the name uncultured organism. RNAcentral describes it as "bacterial SSU rRNA". It matches the Rfam family "Archaeal small subunit ribosomal RNA", at positions 476 to 851 of the family's 1478-position model. The record is from RNAcentral.
CCAGCACCCCGAGUGGUCGGGACGAUUAUUGGGCCUAAAGCAUCCGUAGCCGGUUCUGCAAGUCCCCCGUUAAAUCCAGCUGCUCAACAGAUGGGCCGCGGAGGAUACUACAGAGCUAGGAGGCAGGAGAGGCAAGCGGUACUCAGUGGGUAGGGGUAAAAUCCGUUGAUCCAUUGAAGACCACCAGUGGCGAAGGCGGCUUGCCAGAAUGCGCUCGACGGUGAGGGAUGAAAGCUGGGGGAGCAAACCGGAUUAGAUACCCGGGUAGUCCCAGCCGUAAACGAUGCAGACUCGGUGAUGGGUUGGCUUCGCGCUAACCCAGUGCCGCAGGGAAGCCGUUAAGUCUGCCGCCUGGGUAGUACGGUCGCAAGACUG